GGGGCUGCUACCCUGGCAACCGCUUUCAACACAAGGCCUGGCUUGGGCUGCUGGCCAGGUCUAGAAGCUUCUAGCUGUGCGCGAGCCUCAAGGACAGUUUAGUGAUAGCUAUUCCCAUCCGAUUGCGAGAUCCAGCUCUCUAUUAUGCUUCAAUAUGGACUUUGCGGUUGAUAUUUCACUACUGAUUGAUCAUCAGUAGCAAAUGAGCUCUGCUCACACAGGUGCAUCCCAGUUUUUACAUUACUGAAUGAUUUUAUAACUUUUCAGAAUACCCUGAAGUUGUAAAAAUGCAAUUAUAAAACAAAUACAUCUAAUUCAAAAUAAAAACAUUAACAACAUUAUGGAACUGUGCA
RNAcentral lists this long non-coding RNA (353 nucleotides) under Gopherus agassizii (Agassiz's desert tortoise). RNAcentral describes it as "lncRNA (ENSGAGG00000002806.1)". Lineage: Eukaryota; Metazoa; Chordata; Testudines; Testudinidae. The record is from RNAcentral.